This 218-nucleotide unclassified non-coding RNA is filed under the name Hevea brasiliensis (rubber tree). Lineage: Eukaryota; Viridiplantae; Streptophyta; Magnoliopsida; Malpighiales; Euphorbiaceae. The record is from RNAcentral.
GACAUAAGAAUGGAGAGAGAAGAAGAAAAUGGAAAAGGAAAGGGAGACUGGAGGAGGUGAUUACUGAUGUCCUUUAGCGUUGUGUAUUUUCUUUCUUAAAAUAGAGAAGAAAAAAGAUGUGAUGAGAAUUGUUAAUUCCUGGUUUAGUUCCUUCUCCCUUUUCCUCAUCUUCUUUAUGUUUCUUCUGAUAUCUCUUAGUUGUGCUCUUCUUUUGCUCA